Molecule: long non-coding RNA, 2825 nt
Filed under: Homo sapiens (human)
Lineage: Eukaryota; Metazoa; Chordata; Mammalia; Primates; Hominidae
Description: HSALNT0304117
Source: RNAcentral
CCUCAAAAACAUUCUUCCUUGGUCCCCACUUAUACUCAGUUUCAUUUUUCAAGGCGGAUUGCAAGGUUCGUGUAAAGCUCACAGCUGCAAUGAAGUCACUGACAAAUCUGUGAAUUACCCUGAGUGCAAAGACAAGCUAGUUCAUUUAUAAACAGCCCUUAGAAUAAUAGUAAACUAAACUGCAGGUGGGAAACCUUCAUAAGAUAAAAACUCAGACACACUGUCCCUUCUUGGAAAGCCCUGGAUAAGAAGUAAACAAUGCCAACAAGUCCCUUAGUGACUUGUCACUCCACUUAAAAUGGCCUUUAUUAAGAGUGAUGACCUCCGCCUUAACUGUAAGACCAACCAACUCAAAUGUAAGUCAAGAACAAGAACAUAUUUCCUUGCAGGGGAUUCUGUGCAAACUCAUAGAUGAUUUGCACCUCUGUGAAAGGUCAUGGCUAGGAGGCCAGGUUGAGGAAACUUGAACAGCUAAAGUACACCCAGGCUGUCUGCUAACUACCUGCAUCCUAAUUACCUGUCUGCUAUCGCUGUGUGACGUGCAGAGCCAUGAGAUAGGAUCUGUCUUCAUUUACAGAUCAUAAAAAAACAAAGCUUUAGACAGGUUAAGUAGCUUGCCCAAUGAAAGCAAUUUCUUCUGACCCUUGUGCACAAUUAUGUCCACAGGAGAACACCAUAUACAUAUAUUGCCCAACCUUUGAACACCAUUUACUCAAGAAUGGCUUUCCUUUCCCUGCCAUGCACAGGCAGGCUUGUGGUUAGCCAGUCCUUUCUGGUCAGUGUGGAUAUAUCUGCUGGGUUCAGGGGUGUAGGGUUAGGGAUCUCACUGUUUCCGCACACCAAAACUGUUCUCCAACAGCUCAGUCAAUAAAAACAGCUGAUAUCGGGGCAGGGGUGGAGUUCUUGGUUCAGGACUCUUCUAAUGUCCUGGACUGCAGAAAAGCCCUUGCCCUUACCCUGGAUAAAUACCUGAGAAUGCUUGUCUCCUUCCCACUCUGUAGGCACUCUUGUCCUCUCCAUUCCCUUCCUUGCCUCCUGAGGAGCUUCUGUGGCCCUGGGCUGAUGUGGGGAAGGGAGAAGGGUCCCCUGCACCCCUGGGAUGGGAACAUGAAUGAGUCUGCCCACCAACCCCUAAGAAAUAUGCAUACCUGUGCUCAAAUUAUGGGGCCAUCAGUUCUGCUAGUCUCAGAGCCCCCUAGGGAGGGCGACCCAGCUUUUACUGGACACCCAGGGACUUUCCCUGGAACCUGCUGUUGUGAGCGUUUCUGAGGUGUAGACAAACAGCUCCCCCACACACCUAGCCAACAACCCACUCUCAAGGUGGGAAACACCAUUCUAAGGACUCGCAUUAACCCAUCUGGAUAACCCUGGGUAAUCUGGAGCAGAGGUCGAAACCACUGAAUGGCUCAGGUACGGUAGAAAAUGCCUCUGAUUGAUUGUUUUGGACAUCGCUGCUAUUGCAACAGAGAAAGAUCAAGCCCCAUCACCUAGAAGGGAUUUCAUUCUUUGCAACAGGAAAGAUAGUUCAGAAUCCAGCGCCAAUUAUUCCCAGAAAAAAAAUACCAUUUGAAACAUUACAAAUGAAAUUGAGUUAUAUAAACCCCCUUCCUCAUCCCUUCCAAGGAGGGUGGAUUCUGCGGAUAUCAAGGGUGACUGUGGCAGACUGGAAGGGUGGGAAAGAGAUCAAAUUAGAGAAAACCAAGGGAAGAGCAACUGCCAGCCACCUAGGAAAAAGGAGAGAGGCCUAGGUGACAGGACCCCGAGUUGGAGAGAAAGACACACAGAGGGGUGAGUCAGAGGAAAGCUACAGAAGGGUGUGCUGGGGACAGGCGUCAAGAGGUGAGGCUGCCUCAGGGAGAGGAAGCACGGGAGGAGACCUGGCCCAGGAGAGUUUCAGAGGCUCCUCCCAGCAGCGUGCAGUAGUACCUCCUCCCCCAAGAAAUCAGGAUUGUGCAGGAAACACUCUCCUACUUCUCAGUGGCCACUGGAGAGCUCUGAACCCAGCCCAGGGUCAACUGCCCGGCACUGUCAGGCAGUUCCUCUGACUCCACAGCACAUUCUAAUUGCAGUCACUGAAAAGGAAAUCAGGACACAGACAUGAGCACGUACAGAGAAAAGACUGUGCCAGGAGCAGGCUGCCAUCUGCAAGCCAAGGAGAGAGCUCUCAGAAAAAAACGAUCUUGCCGACACCUUCCUUUUGCACUUCCAGCCUCCAGGACUGUAAGAAAAGAAAUUUCUGUUGUUUAAGCCACCAAGUAGUAUUUCGUUAUAGCAGUCCAAGCAAACUAAUGCACAUAUCAAAACUACUUUAGUUUUUCCACUUUGUUGCAAACAAUUGCAAGUUGUCCAGGUUUUCUGUCUUCCCCCAGCCUGCAAGUGCUCAGAGGACACCCAACCCUAUGAUCUCAGCCAACUCAUGAAGUUUGAUUUCACAACUUAGUGAUGUCUUCCCAGUGGAAUCCUAAAUGAUAAGGAAAAUGGUAUAGAGCCAAGACUUGAACAUUAACAACCCAGGAGCACAGAAACAGCACAGUUAGCUGAGAGGCGUUAUGGAGAGAAGCAACCGAAUGCACACUGAGCGCUGUGAGAAGUCCACGACAGUGGGGAACAGCGCCCACCGUCACAAAAAGAAAGACCCUCGGCAGGUUGACUGCUCAUCCAUUAGCAGCAGAUGUCUCUUGAGUAGCUGAACCACACCAAGCUGGACCUGGGACUUGAGAAGCCCCCUUCAACCUCUGUCAGGACGCACGCUGGAUUAGCAUCUGCUAGGGCUGCCGUAAGAAAGUACCAAAAAAUAAGUGGCUUAAACAAUAAAAUAUUGUCUC